Molecule: long non-coding RNA, 780 nt
Organism: Corticium candelabrum
Lineage: Eukaryota; Metazoa; Porifera; Homoscleromorpha; Homosclerophorida; Plakinidae
Exons: 3
Source: RefSeq, a predicted model, not a curated record
AGGGAAGGUGGAGCUGUUUCUUGAGUUAUGGAAACUUUCUGAUUUGUCAGCAGACAUUUAAAUACCUCCGAACUAAAUGUGAUCAAUUUAUUAAUCGAGUGCAAGAAGUAAAGAGAGAGACUGGUGUUGCAUUUUUGUUCGAGAAGGCAGCUACACUGUCUGAAAUUGAUCACUUGCAUCUGGCCUUCCAAUCAGCAAGAUGGCUGUUCAACCUGGACUACUUCAUAUCUCUCCCGACUCCUUGACUCCUUGACUUCUGCGUCAGUGUAAUCUGUGUGUGUGCAUGGCCAUUAUCCAAAACUUUGCGUGCUGCCAUUUGCUGCAAUUCAGAUGGCUCUUGGUAUUAUCUCAGUGCUUGCAGUGUUUUGUGGCCGGCUCUGCCUUGAAUGACAUCUUCAGGAACUCCCGCUUGAAACAGCCUUGUUGCACUAGUAGCUCGAAGAAUGUGGUUGGUUUGAACUGGAAGACCAGCUUCAGCUGUCAUCACUUUCAUCAUUGUAGCCAAAGUGUUACAACCGAUUACUUGCUUUGAAUACCAAGGACCAAAUGAAGGUGUAGAUAACAAAGGUUUAUAAUAGAAGGCUUGUCGGGGAAAAUCCUGUUGGCAACUUACUUAGAUAUAGAGAUCCAAAAUUUUUACGUGGCAACGGUCACCAGCUUCUUCAUUAGCGUAUCUGAUAAACCACAAACCACAAAAUGCUAUUACCUUACAGAGUCACGUUGGAGCUUGACUAUAAUUUACCUUGUGACUUUUUGGUUUGGAUACUGUAAAUCACUUAG